Vombatus ursinus (common wombat) is the source of this 1233-nucleotide long non-coding RNA. RefSeq lists it as uncharacterized. The transcript has 3 exons. Lineage: Eukaryota; Metazoa; Chordata; Mammalia; Diprotodontia; Vombatidae. The record is from RefSeq and is a predicted model, not a curated record.
CAAACACUUGACACUUACUAGCUGUGUGACCCUGGUGAACUUUGGAUCCUGGUUGGACCACACCAAAGGAUGUCUGCGCGUGGCAGAUUCAGAGAAGUUCUUGCUCCUCACCUGUAAGGAACUUCAUCAGGUUCCUCUUGGGUCCUUCUUUCUGCGGCCCUUGAGCUGGGGCUUUCUUUGGCUUGGUGACUUGACCUCACCGAGAGGUGGUCCAUACUCUCUCCCCCAGACGGCAAUGCGCAGAAUCCCUAAAUGUCAGUGAAAAGGACCUCUGUGGCCAUCUAUCCCAGCAUGGAGUGAAAAAAGCAAGCCCAUGACCAUGUACUCAACCAGGCAAGCCUGGAAGGCCUCUGGGAAGAGGAAGCUGAUUGCCCUCCAAGGUUGGCAGUUCCGAUUUGGAAUAGUUCUCAUGGCCACACAACGUCCCUUACAUUAGCCUUCGAUUCACAUCCUCACCACUCGCUCGCAGCUCUGCAAACCUUUUAAAGUGUGUGCUCUCGGUACACAAGGCCAGUAGGAGACACUUGCAUUAUUUCUCAUCUGAGUUGCUUUUCAAAUUCCAGUCACAAAGACCAUUCUGUGUGGCAGAAAGAAGAAAGAGAAAGGAAGUAAGAUCGGAGUAGCCAGGUUUCCUUGCUCCCUGCAGGUCAUUGUGAUGAUCCCAGCCACUCCAAGCAAAGGUCCUUCAGUCUGCUUCUCACCCCAUUCACCACACAAAAUCAUUCUUUGUUAUCUUCAGCAUUAAGGGUGAGCCUCAGCUCAAGGUGACCUUUAGUGUUCCUGACAAAUUACAAGAACACAUUACACUUGAAAUCUUCUCACGUCCAUCUCCUGUACAAGGCUUCUCAAAGUAGAAGUUGCUGAACAAACUGUCCCUUUUAGAUCAAAGCCAUUCUCUUUAGAGAAAACCCCAUUAUCUUGCUCAUUGGGAUGAUUUCUCUUUUGUCUUCUGAAUUUCAUGGCCAAGAACUUUCUACCCAAUGGAGACUGUUGUCCCCAGUUCCAUGUUAGGCCAUCGUCUCCCAUUUCAGACUCUUUGGAAUCUUCCCUGUCAGAACCUUAGGUUCAUGUCAGACUUUUAAUGGCAUUCCUCUCUUCUACCAUCGAUCUUCAGACCAAAUGGCCACUCCCUACUUCCCACUAUUUUUAUUUCAGUGACCAGGUCCUUAAGAUUAUUGGUCAAAAUCUGAUCUGGAAGAGUAGCUUCCACUGCUACUCCCUGGGGCAGCUAGG